Molecule: non-coding RNA, 405 nt
Organism: Anguilla anguilla (European eel)
Lineage: Eukaryota; Metazoa; Chordata; Actinopteri; Anguilliformes; Anguillidae
Source: the annotation of a RefSeq genome assembly
AUGAUGAUGUCAAACUUUCUACUGCUGGUGAUGCUGGGACUCCUUGUACAGGAAUCAAUGUCAGAAAUAGUGCUGACUCAGGAUCCAGCAGCUCAUUCUGUUCAGCAGGGAGACACUGUCUCUGUCAGCUGUACAGCCAGUCAGAGUGUUACAAUUGGCUCCUACCACUACCUCAACUGGUACCAGCAGAAACCUGGUCAGGCUCCUAAACUUCUGAUUUAUCUUGCCACAAGUCGCCAGUCUGGGAUUCCUGAUCGUUUCAGUGGGAGUGGAUCUGGGACUCAGUUUACACUGAAAAUCACUGGAGUCCAGGCUGAAGAUGCAGGAGAUUAUUACUGUCAGCAGAGCAGGAGCUCGUCUGACACAGUGAUACAGAGCCGGGGUGACAAUGAGCCACAGUCCUGA